UACGAGGGGGGCAAGCGUUGUUCGGAUUUAUUAGGCGUAAAGGGUGCGUAGGCGGUUUGGCAAGUCUUGUGUGAAAUCUUUGGGCUCAACCCAAAGCCUGCACGAGAAACUGCCGGGCUUGAGUAUGGGAGAGGUGAGUGGAAUUUCCGGUGUAGCGGUGAAAUGCGUAGAUAUCAGGAGGAACACCGGUGGCGAAGGCGGAUCUCUGGGCCUUACCUGACGCUCAGGUGCGAAAGCUAGGGGAGCGAACAGG
Molecule: ribosomal RNA, 253 nt
Filed under: uncultured bacterium
Lineage: Bacteria
Description: partial 16S ribosomal RNA
Rfam family: Bacterial small subunit ribosomal RNA
Source: RNAcentral